Peromyscus leucopus (white-footed mouse) is the source of this 1552-nucleotide long non-coding RNA. RefSeq lists it as uncharacterized. NCBI's taxonomy places the organism in Eukaryota, Metazoa, Chordata, Mammalia, Rodentia, Cricetidae. The record is from RefSeq and is a predicted model, not a curated record. The transcript has 3 exons.
UGUUGCUGAGCCACCUCUGGGAGCUGUUGUGUGAAGUGUGGCUCUUUAUGGAAUCUCCACCACCCAGGGGAGCCUCGGAUAAAAGAACAGCCAGCUACAAGUUCUGGUGCCAAGGCAUAGACAAGCAGACCAGUGAGAUGGCCCAGCGGCAAAGGCGCUCGGUGUCAGACCUGACAAACUGAGUUGUAUCUUUGGAACUACUUGGGAGAAGAGGAGAGCUGACUCUCACCAGCUUUCUUCUGUCCUCUCCAUUCACGUCACAACACACCCGCACACAUACACACAAACAGGACAAAAGUCACAGGGGUUUACAGGACGCCUUGGAGUCAGCUCUGCAAAGCUUCUAAAAUGCAUUAGCUCAUCGCCACUGUCCUGGUCUCAUCGCUAAUUGAUGCCAUCAUUCCCUGGUCUCCUAAAGCCAGCUCCCCACAGCACAGCACACAUAAAGUUUUGAAGAUGUAAAGCUGGUGUUAACUAAGGCCAAUGUAAGUCCCCACCGUGGCUCCUGCAGAGUUCACAGCGAAGUCCAUCUCCACGGCACGGCGUGUGGAAUGCUCCUGGACAGGCUUCCCGCUGCAUCCACAGACUUGAUGCUGCUUUGCUCUGCCACAAAUUCCCCUAGAUUCUUUUUUUCAGUCCCUUCCUCUCUAUGCCUACCCUCCGGCUGUUCUCACUCUUCUUCUUAUCCUGGUACCCCGGUUCAUCUGGCUAAAUUGAGGACUUCCUUCAGAGCUAGCUGCUACAGGUUUUUCCUCUUUCAGACCUCUCAGUCAGCUGGCCUGGCCACCGUAGACUCUCUUCAUUCCCGUCCAUUCAUCACUGUGCAUAGACUGUGACCAUGGAUGGAGUGCUGGUGGGUUUUUUUCCUCACUGAGUUAACUGUCUAGCUUCCUCCCUACAUCAAAGGCCUCCUAGGAAUGUGUUAUAUUUUUCUAGACCUAGCAUAUACCUGAGUAUGUACUAUAUCUCAAUAUACAUCUGCCAAAUGAAUGGCGUGCUAAAUAUGGCAUAUAAACGGAAUGGAGAAAUGGACCCCUGAGUGACUCAAGCUUUUUCAAAUGGUCUGUCAGGAACUGGUUCUCACAGGUUAUUUUUGGUACACUUAGGUCAUUAUCUGAGCUCACCUGACGUUGCCUCCCUCUUUUGGGGGGCCCUCAACUCUGGAACCCCUUUGUUCCCGUGCCAACAGCACUUGCUGUGUUCCUGGCAGAGGAACGAAGCAAAUUAAUGCCAUUGUCAACUCUCACUAGAAUCUAGACCUGGACCCUUGAGGCAGGGGUGGGACCAUUGUUGGAUUUAGCAGUUGUGGAGGGUGAGUUUGUUGUGAACAAUUGUCUCUGUAACUGUGGAGGUUUAGAAUUCCCACUAUCUGCCAUCUUGAAGGUGGCAGCCCAGAAAAGCCAAAGGUCCAUAUAAAGGGAGACAAAGGCAGGUGGGUCAAAACAUUUAGGCUAGCCUGUGCUACAUAGCAAUUUCCUGUAUUGUAGAAAAAAAGCCUGCCAUUUGGAAAAACUGUCUGUUUAAAAAAAAAAAAGAAAGAAAAGAAAAUAGU